This 503-nucleotide ribosomal RNA is filed under the name uncultured bacterium. RNAcentral's name for it is "partial 16S ribosomal RNA". It matches the Rfam family "Bacterial small subunit ribosomal RNA", at positions 30 to 523 of the family's 1533-position model. The record is from RNAcentral.
AUUGAACGCUGGCGGCAGGCUUAACACAUGCAAGUCGAGCGGGGUGAUGGUGCUUGCACUAUCACUUAGCGGCGGACGGGUGAGUAAUGCUUAGGAAUCUGCCUAUUAGUGGGGGACAACAUCUCGAAAGGGAUGCUAAUACCGCAUACGUCCUACGGGAGAAAGCAGGGGAUCACUUGUGACCUUGCGCUAAUAGAUGACCCUAAGUCGGAUUAGCUAGUUGGUGGGGUAAAGGCCUACCAAGGGGACGAUCUGUAGCGGGUCUGAGAGGAUGAUCCGCCACACUGGGACUGGGACGCGGCCCAGACUCCUACGGGAGGCAGCAGUGGGGAAUAUUGGACAAUGGGGGGAACCCUGAUCCAGCCAUGCCGCGUGUGUGAAGAAGGCCUUAUGGUUGUAAAGCACUUUAAGCGAGGAGGAGGCUCUUUUGGUUAAUACCCAAGAUGAGUGGACGUUACUCGCAGAAUAAGCACCGGCUAACUCUGUGCCAGCCGCCGCUGUAA